This 595-nucleotide ribosomal RNA is filed under the name Enterococcus durans. Its description in RNAcentral is "bacterial SSU rRNA". It matches the Rfam family "Bacterial small subunit ribosomal RNA", at positions 876 to 1473 of the family's 1533-position model. The record is from RNAcentral. Lineage: Bacteria; Bacillati; Bacillota; Bacilli; Lactobacillales; Enterococcaceae.
GGGAGUUCGACCGCAAGGUUGAAACUCAAAGGAAUGACGGGGGCCCGCACAAGCGGUGGAGCAUGUGGUUUAAUUCGAAGCAACGCGAAGAACCUUACCAGGUCUUGACAUCCUUUGACCACUCUAGAGAUAGAGCUUCCCCUUCGGGGGCAAAGUGACAGGUGGUGCAUGGUUGUCGUCAGCUCGUGUCGUGAGAUGUUGGGUUAAGUCCCGCAACGAGCGCAACCCUUAUUGUUAGUUGCCAUCAUUUAGUUGGGCACUCUAGCAAGACUGCCGGUGACAAACCGGAGGAAGGUGGGGAUGACGUCAAAUCAUCAUGCCCCUUAUGACCUGGGCUACACACGUGCUACAAUGGGAAGUACAACGAGUCGCAAAGUCGCGAGGCUAAGCUAAUCUCUUAAAGCUUCUCUCAGUUCGGAUUGUAGGCUGCAACUCGCCUACAUGAAGCCGGAAUCGCUAGUAAUCGCGGAUCAGCACGCCGCGGUGAAUACGUUCCCGGGCCUUGUACACACCGCCCGUCACACCACGAGAGUUUGUAACACCCGAAGUCGGUGAGGUAACCUUUUGGAGCCAGCCGCCUAAGGUGGGAAAAAAA